RNAcentral lists this ribosomal RNA (633 nucleotides) under Triticum aestivum (bread wheat). RNAcentral describes it as "partial small subunit ribosomal RNA". The record is from RNAcentral. Lineage: Eukaryota; Viridiplantae; Streptophyta; Magnoliopsida; Poales; Poaceae.
AUGGAGGCAACCACCCAGGAGCGCCCCGCGCCGCCGCCGCCGUCGCCGUCGUCGGUGCAGAUGCAGCUGCCGCAUGCGGCCGCCGACCCGUCCAACCCUUUCCCGACCACCUUCGUGCAGGCCGACACCACCUCUUUCAAGCAGGUCGUGCAGAUCCUCACCGGCACCCCGGAGACCGCGGCCGCGGCGGCGGCGGGGGGCGCGGCGGGCGCGCCGGCGGCUAAGCCGGCGCCCACGGCGACCGGGCCCAAGAAGCCGGCCUUCAAGCUCUACGAGCGGCGGGGCAGCAUGAAGAGCCUGAAGAUGCUCUGCCCGCUCCUCCCCGCCGCCUUCGCCGCCGGCGGCUCCGGUGGCUGCAGCGGGUUCUCCCCGCGGGGGUUCUCGCCGCGCGGGCUGGAGGUGCUGUCGCCGAGCAUGCUGGACUUCCCGUCGCUGGCGCUGGGGAGCCCCGUGACGCCGCUCCCGCCGCUGCCGGGGUCGCGGGAGGCCGCCGCGGCCGAAGACCGCGCCAUCGCCGAGAAGGGGUUCUACCUCCACCCGUCCCCGCGCGGCAAUGCCAGCGGCCGCGGCGACCUGACGCCGCCGCCCAGGCUGCUCCCGCUCUUCCCCUUGCAGUCGCCCACCCGGCAGUGA